This is a non-coding RNA of Phoenix dactylifera (date palm), 122 nucleotides long. The record is from RefSeq and is a predicted model, not a curated record. Lineage: Eukaryota; Viridiplantae; Streptophyta; Magnoliopsida; Arecales; Arecaceae.
CAACAAAGUUGUCAAAUUAGAAUGGCGAAUACUUUAGAUAAAAGUUGGCGAUGGUAGUUGUGCAAUUUUCCAUCCCUCAAUUUUUUUCUCUUUGAAGAUGGCCUCGAACAAAUUGCUACAUU